GUGAGGAAUUUUCCGCAAUGGGCGAAAGCCUGACGGAGCAAUGCCGCGUGAAGGAUGAAGGCCUAUGGGUUGUAAACUUCUUUUCUCAGAAAAGAAUUAUGACGGUAUCUGAGGAAUAAGCAUCGGCUAACUCUGUGCCAGCAGCCGCGGUAAGACAGAGGAUGCAAGCGUUAUCCGGAAUGAUUGGGCGUAAAGCGUCUGUAGGUUGUUUAAAAAGUAUUCUGUCAAGGAUUAGGGCUUAACCCUAGAUAGGCAGAAUAAACUUUUAAGCUAGAGUUUGGUAGAGGCAGAGGGAAUUCCCGGUGGAGCGGUGAAAUGCGUAGAUAUCGGGAGGAACACCAAAGGCGAAGGCACUCUGCUGGGCCAAUACUAACACUGAGAGACGAAAGCGAGGGGAGCAAAUGGGAUUAGAAACCCCUGUAGUCC
RNAcentral lists this ribosomal RNA (426 nucleotides) under uncultured bacterium. RNAcentral describes it as "bacterial SSU rRNA". It matches the Rfam family "Bacterial small subunit ribosomal RNA", at positions 354 to 796 of the family's 1533-position model. The record is from RNAcentral.